CGGAAGUUAGCUUGCCGCUGACUUCCGGGGGACUAUUGACUCGAGAGGCUCCACGAUCUGUGGCUGGCAGCGCAGUAGAGUUGCAGCGUUCGUGAUGGACUUUUAAAGCACACGAACCAGAGGGGGAUUCAAUAGAGCCUGAAUACCUGCACUGAGACCCUCACCCUGCACCCUGAGUUUCAACUCUCAAGAGUUCUUCAAGCCUUUCCCUGUUAUUUGUAUUAAACCAAACAUUAAGCUUC
Long non-coding RNA from Trematomus bernacchii (emerald rockcod), 242 nucleotides. RefSeq lists it as uncharacterized. NCBI's taxonomy places the organism in Eukaryota, Metazoa, Chordata, Actinopteri, Perciformes, Nototheniidae. The transcript has 2 exons. The record is from RefSeq and is a predicted model, not a curated record.